This 260-nucleotide long non-coding RNA is filed under the name Rosa chinensis. RNAcentral's name for it is "sRNA RchiOBHm_Chr2g0131811". The record is from RNAcentral. Lineage: Eukaryota; Viridiplantae; Streptophyta; Magnoliopsida; Rosales; Rosaceae.
ACGAAGAUAUUCAUCGGGGAUGCCGUACUCUUCCGAUCUCGUCGGCCCUAUACCCGAUCUAAGCUUCGGCCGAGAAUGGUCUGGAUCCAGAAGACGGUGUUGACAAACCCAUCACUUGUUGAUAGCGCCGGUGAUGACGACUUCCAUAUAGAACCAUUUGGUGUCUUGAUCGGUGUCUGAUCUGGUCAUAUUGGAGUUUGAUCUUUAUGCGAUGUGCCUGUGUGAGAGCGUGAUGGAAGAAGAGAGGAGGAAGAGAGGCG